AGUGAGGAAUAUUGGUCAAUGGGCGCAAGCCUGAACCAGCCAUGCCGCGUGCAGGAUGACGGUCCUAUGGAUUGUAAACUGCUUUUGUACGAGAAGAAACAACAUUACGUGUAAUGUCUUGACGGUAUCGUAAGAAUAAGGAUCGGCUAACUCCGUGCCAGCAGCCGCGGUAAUACGGAGGAUCCAAGCGUUAUCCGGAAUCAUUGGGUUUAAAGGGUCUGUAGGCGGUUUGGUAAGUCAGUGGUGAAAGCCCAUCGCUCAACGGUGGAACGGCCAUUGAUACUGCCAGACUUGAAUUACUGGGAAGUAACUAGAAUAUGUAGUGUAGCGGUGAAAUGCUUAGAGAUUACAUGGAAUACCAAUUGCGAAGGCAGGUUACUACCAGUGGAUUGACGCUGAUGGACGAAAGCGUGGGGAGCGAA
RNAcentral lists this ribosomal RNA (422 nucleotides) under uncultured Flavobacterium sp. Its description in RNAcentral is "bacterial SSU rRNA". It matches the Rfam family "Bacterial small subunit ribosomal RNA", at positions 353 to 772 of the family's 1533-position model. Lineage: Bacteria; Pseudomonadati; Bacteroidota; Flavobacteriia; Flavobacteriales; Flavobacteriaceae. The record is from RNAcentral.